GCAAAAGAUAGCUAUAGUAUAUGGAAUAUUAUCAAUUCUGCAAAAUGAACGAUAUAAACAAAAUCAAAUAAUAAACCAAAAUACAAUAGGCAUGAAAUAUAUACCAGCUGCUAAAACACGUAAAGAACUUUCACAAAUUCCAAAGUAAAAAUGCAAUCCACAGUGUCAGCGCUUAGUAGAUAUAUCCCUGUGAGCAGUGGCGUAC
This is a non-coding RNA of Pelobates cultripes (western spadefoot toad), 205 nucleotides long. The record is from the annotation of a GenBank genome assembly. Lineage: Eukaryota; Metazoa; Chordata; Amphibia; Anura; Pelobatidae.